AUUGAACGCUGGCGGCAUGCUUUACACAUGCAAGUCGAACGGCAGCGCGGGCUUCGGCCUGGCGGCGAGUGGCGAACGGGUGAGUAAUGCAUCGGAACGUGCCCAGUAGUGGGGGAUAGCCCGGCGAAAGCCGGAUUAAUACCGCAUACGACCUGAGGGUGAAAGCGGGGGACCGAAAGGCCUCGCGCUAUUGGAGCGGCCGAUGUCGGAUUAGCUAGUUGGUGGGGUAAAGGCUUACCAAGGCGACGAUCCGUAGCUGGUCUGAGAGGACGACCAGCCACACUGGGACUGAGACACGGCCCAGACUCCUACGGGAGGCAGCAGUGGGGAAUUUUGGACAAUGGGGGCAACCCUGCUCCAGCCAUGCCGCGUGCGGGAAGAAGGCCUUCGGGUUGUAAACCGCUUUUGUUCGGGAAGAAAUCCUCUGGGCUAAUACCCCGGGGGGAUGACGGUACCGGAAGAAUAAGCACCGGCUAACUACGUG
Molecule: ribosomal RNA, 484 nt
Filed under: uncultured bacterium
Lineage: Bacteria
Description: partial 16S ribosomal RNA
Rfam family: Bacterial small subunit ribosomal RNA
Source: RNAcentral